Molecule: ribosomal RNA, 443 nt
Filed under: uncultured bacterium
Lineage: Bacteria
Description: bacterial SSU rRNA
Rfam family: Bacterial small subunit ribosomal RNA
Source: RNAcentral
AACGCGAAGAACCUUACCUGGGCUUGAACCGCUACGGACCAACGGUAGAAAUAUCGUCUUCCCGCAAGGGACCGUAGUAGAGGUGCUGCAUGGCUGUCGUCAGCUCGUGCCGUGAGGUGUUGGGUUAAGUCCCGCAACGAGCGCAACCCUCAUCCCUAGUUGCCAUCAGGUCAAGCUGGGCACUCUAGUGAAACCGCCCCGGAUAACGGGGAGGAAGGUGGGGAUGACGUCAAGUCCUCAUGGCCUUUAUGUCCAGGGCUACACACGUGCUACAAUGGUCGGUACAAACCGUCGCAAAACUGCAAAGUGGAGCUAAUCGGAAAAAGCCGGCCUCAGUUCGGAUUGGAGUCUGCAACUCGACUCCAUGAAGCUGGAAUCGCUAGUAAUCGCAGAUCAGAACGCUGCGGUGAAUACGUUCCCGGGCCUUGUACACACCGGAGUGC